This 138-nucleotide ribosomal RNA is filed under the name uncultured Aeromonas sp. RNAcentral's name for it is "partial 16S ribosomal RNA". It matches the Rfam family "Bacterial small subunit ribosomal RNA", at positions 391 to 521 of the family's 1533-position model. Lineage: Bacteria; Pseudomonadati; Pseudomonadota; Gammaproteobacteria; Aeromonadales; Aeromonadaceae. The record is from RNAcentral.
GCCAUGCCGCGUGUGUGAAGAAGGCCUUCGGGUUGUAAAGCACUUUCAGCGAGGAGGAAAGGUUGGCGCCUAAUACGUGUCAACUGUGACGUUACUCGCAGAAGAAGCACCGGCUAACUCCGUGCCAGCAGCCGCGGU